This 489-nucleotide ribosomal RNA is filed under the name uncultured bacterium. RNAcentral's name for it is "partial 16S ribosomal RNA". It matches the Rfam family "Bacterial small subunit ribosomal RNA", at positions 28 to 507 of the family's 1533-position model. The record is from RNAcentral.
GACGAACGCUGGCGGCGUGCUUAACACAUGCAAGUCGAACGGUGAAGGGACCAGCUUGCUGGUUCUGGAUGAGUGGCGAACGGGUGAGUAACACGUGAGUAACCUGCCCCCUUCUUCUGGAUAACCGCAUGAAAGUGUGGCUAAUACGGGAUAUUCUGGGCCUGUCGCAUGGCGGGCCCGGGAAAGAUAUUGCUUCGGUGGGGGAUGGGCUCGCGGCCUAUCAGCUUGUUGGUGGGGUGAUGGCCUACCAAGGCGGUGACGGGUAGCCGGCCUGAGAGGGUGGACGGUCACACGGGGACUGAGACACGGCCCAGACGCCUACGGGAGGCAGCAGUGGGGAAUAUUGCACAAUGGGCGCAAGCCUGAUGCAGCGACGCCGCGUGAGGGAUGGAGGCCUUCGGGUUGUAAACCUCUUUCGCCAGUGAAGCAGGCCUGCUCCUUGUGGGUGGGUUGACGGUAGCUGGAUAAGAAGCGCCGGCUAACUACGUG